UACGUAGGGUGCAAGUCCGGAAUUAUUGGGCGUAAAGAGCUCGUAGGCGGUUUGUCGCGUCUGCUGUGAAAACUCGGGGCUUAACUCCGGGCCUGCAGUGGGUACGGGCAGACUAGAGUGCGGUAGGGGAGACUGGAAUUCCUGGUGUAGCGGUGAAAUGCGCAGAUAUCAGGAGGAACACCGGUGGCGAAGGCGGGUCUCUGGGCCGUAACUGACGCUGAGGAGCGAAAGCGUGGGGAGCGAACAGG
RNAcentral lists this ribosomal RNA (248 nucleotides) under uncultured bacterium. RNAcentral's name for it is "partial 16S ribosomal RNA". It matches the Rfam family "Bacterial small subunit ribosomal RNA", at positions 524 to 776 of the family's 1533-position model. The record is from RNAcentral.